Molecule: long non-coding RNA, 6913 nt
Filed under: Daucus carota (carrot)
Lineage: Eukaryota; Viridiplantae; Streptophyta; Magnoliopsida; Apiales; Apiaceae
Description: long non-coding RNA (DCAR_LNC005077)
Source: RNAcentral
GAUCAUAUAAUCAAAGUAAUUAUCAACCAGGAUUAAUUUAUAUCCAAAUAAAUCAAUGUAUCUGGUUAAUAAAUUUAAUACUCCUUGAUCCCAUCACUGGUAUGAAAAAAGUUUGCUAUUUGAAUUUCCCAUCUCUAUGUAAAUGCAACAGGCCAUAAGUGGAACAGAAAAAGGAGAGCGUAUUGCGAUGCUUCUGUCUCCAACCUUUUCGUCUCCUACACCUGGACUUUUAGAUUCUAUUCCUCAGCCAAGUGGAAGCAUGUUUACCAGUUUCCUCACAGCUCCUUUGCAGGCUUUUCUUAUGUUGAUUGGAAUUUCAGGCUCUGAUAUUGAAAUGGUAAAUGUUAAUUCANACAAUAUCGUUUCGAGGAUAAAAUAGUUCGGAAUAAUCAUUUCACUCAAACGACAAAAUUUUAUGAUGAACAAAAUUUAAGUUGUUGAAUACUAUGUAAACAUAUGUAUCCAAAAUAUAGAUGGCUGCUGGAAUUCUCCCUUGACUGCCCACACAUCUUCUUUUGUAUAUAAUAUAAAAAUGAAAUGUAACUAAAAUAUAGAUCGUGAUUAUUCAUAUUUAAUAAUAUUUAAUAUCAGAAUAUACAUCAGACAUCAGUUACAAUUCGUCGUUUUGAGUAUUUUUCUGUAUGAAAAUGGAUGGACAAAUAUCGUAUAUUAUAUGACCUCUGUGCUUGCAAAUCUUUUAAGAAAACCUCAAAUGUUAAAAGAAAACAAACAAAUAUUAAGCUGAAUGGAUACAAACUCAUAAUUAUUUGCAACGGUUGUUGAAGUGAUAAUUAUUAAUUUACACUAUGAUGGAAUACGACUAUAUCUUUUUGAGGAUAAAGUAGUUCGGAGUAAUCUAUUCACUCAAACGACAAAAUUUUAUGAUGAACAAAUUUUAAUUUGUCGAAGAACUAUGUAUACAUAUUUAUCCAAAAUAUAGAUGACUGUUAGAAUUCUCCCAUGACUGCCCACACAUCUUCUUUUUGUAUAUAAUAUAAAAAUGAAAUGUAACUAAAAUAUAGAUCGUGAUUAUUCAAAUUUAAUAAUAUUUAAUAUCAGAAUAUACAUCAGACAUCAAUUAUAAUUCGUCGUUUUGAGUAUUUUUCUAUAUGAUAUAUACAAAAUUCAAUAUUCAUAUUUAAUAAUUAUAUUAAUAUUAUAAAUAAAUAGAUAAUUAUAAUAAUAAUAAUAAUAAUUCAUAAUAAAUAAAUUUUGAUAGAUAAUCCAAAUUCUAUUGAAAUUCUUAAUAGCGGUUAUUGGUUUGUUCUUUUUUCCUUUCCCUUUCAAAAUAGGAAACAAUUUAGUGAUUAGAAAAAGCUCCUGUUCAUUACCAAAAGUAAAGUUUAUUAGCAAUCGGCGAUGGGGGAUAUAUAGAUUCCGAGCGAGAAAGAAAGGGAGGAGAAGAGAUGAGAAACAGCAACAAUACGAGUGUUCCAGUGAGCGAAAUGUACUGGUCACUUGUGGCUAAAGCCGAUAAGAAGUUCUCUAAAAUUAGGGAUUUGCCUUAUUACGAACGCAACAGGUCCAUUUCUACCACUAUUUACUCUAUCACUUUUGUGUUUGAUAUAUCAUUCAACUUGUUAUCUGAUCUCUACUUGACUAUUUGUGUUUUCAAUUUAUUAGUUUCUGUAAGCAAGUGAUUACUGGCCAAUUGCUAUGGUUUAUUCGGUUGUUAAGCUGGAUUAGUGAGUAUAUGAUUUUGGUGAAUAUUUUAUUUGUGAAUUUUAAUCUUUAUCUGUAUUUUGGGAUUAUAUUGUAAAACUUAUGUGGUGAAUUAUAUUAUAUUUCGUGAUAAUCAGAGGUUUGUAGGGUAAGAUAGUUUAAAGCGGAACUUAUUUCCUCUCUAAACACACAGAGAGACAUACAAGGACGGAUAACCGAACCGGAUUUUUUUCAAAAAAAAAAAAACGCUGUAUAUAUUAUCAUUAAAGCUAAAAGCCAUGUUUUAUCAAAGUUGCUGCUAAUCAAAGUGAAUCAUUUUUUUUAGUGACAAUACAUGUAAUAAAACAAUAUAAAUUCUCCUUAAUUUUUGUUCAGGAUACCAGUAAGAUAUAUUUGAACUUGGCAAAUUGCAUUAUCAUUCAACUGCAAUGCAAAAUGCAGGACAUAUUUAGGUAUUACAAUGUCGAUUAUAUUAACCAGCAGUAACUAUUUCAGAGUUUAGUUGACGGCUGCAAUUUAUGACUCUGUGAUACAAUAUAACUCACAGGCUAAACUCUAAAGAGUAGACCCGGCAUUUCGUGUUGUGUCCUGUACUUGAAACCCAAACACGAACACGACAUGAAAUUACACAAAAUUUUGUUAUCCGAAAAUACACGACACGUUACAAAGAAAUAGACGACACGAAAGGUACAUGAAAUGAAAUGUAGACGAAAUAUAUAUAUUUUUUCAUUUUUAUUGACCAAUUUGAAAUUACAAGAAUCAAAUUAAUAUGUUUCGUUAUUUCGUAUACAUUUAAUUUCAUUUUUAAUGACUAAGUUGAUACAAAUUUUCAAAUUGGUAAUCAAAUUGAGUCAAUUUUGAAAUGAGUGACUAACGUGAUAUAUUUGAACCAAAAGAAUGAUGACUUUGAUAUUUAUCCCUAUUUAAAUAUUGAUGAUUAAUUAAUUUAUACAUAUGAAUUGAUAUUAUAUCUUUUUUAAUUUAUGAAAUUCUACGAUAAAUAUCAAAUUAUUUAUAUAAAUAUUGUUAUUAAAAUUUAUUAACUUAUAUUAUAAAUUAUUAUUAUUUUAAUUAAUUAGUUAUGUCGUGGAUUCGUUUAGUGACAUGUACACAAAAGGGUGAACCAAAACAUGACAUUGAAUCAGUAAUUUUACACUGGUUCAAAAUGCUUCAUUUGUGUAUAUAAAAGCGGUGACAGUUAUACCUGUUAAUAAACUUUGAAUUCAUGUUUGUGGGGAUGUUUUAGGUACGAUACAUACUUUUCUAAGGUGUUCAAGGCCUAUACACAGCUGUGGAAGUUUCAGCAAGAGAAUCGGCAGAAGCUGGUGGAAGCAGGGCUUAAGAGAUGGGAGAUUGGGGACAUUGCAUCAAGGAUUGGGCAGUUAUACUUUGGGCAGUAUAUGAGGACAAGUGAUCGUAGUUAUUUGUCAGAGUCAUAUAUAUUUUAUGAAGCAGUGUUGACUAGGGAGUAUUUUCGGGAUGGAUUUUCUCAGGAUCUGAAUCUUGCUAUAAAGCAAUUGAGAUUCCUUGCUAGGUUUUUGACAGUGUGUUUGGUGAUGAGCAGACGAGAAAUGGUUUUCCAGUUGGUUAAUCAACUGAAAAUGUUGCUUGAUGAGUGCAAAAGAAUCUUUCAGGUCUUUUCAUUGCAAACCCUUUUUCCAAAGAAUAUGUUGCGGUGUCAUCUUUUCUGGCUAUAUUUAGUCCUGAUCUAACUGUCACGAUUAUUCCAAAAUGUUUUGUCCAUCAUAAACAUUUUGCUUCAUGGUCUCAAGUUGGCGAUUGAAUUAUGGAUAUAGAGGAACCUAAUCGUUAGCAUAAGUUUAGCAGUAAAUUAAAGAUGUGGAAGCAUCUUGCAUGGUUAUGGGUGUCCUGUCAUUUGAAAUUGCUCCAUUUUAUUUAUUUAAAGUGUCAUAGGAGGACUACAAAUUGGUUGCUGUACACUGAGUCUGUUUUCCAUAACCUCUAGCGAGGACCAAAAACAUUAGUGAAGUGGUUUUGGUUUCUGUAAUGUUGUAAGUCGUGCUGUUUAGUAUUUACCAUUAAACUUCGAAGAAAUCCUUACUCUGGAGCAAUAAUUUACUUAAAGAGUAAUAUAAAGGUCACCUUGAAGUAAAGUAUUGAAAUUGUAAAUACUUAGUUGCACAACUUAAUACUUUUUUGGAGAGACCCACUAUUUAUCUUUCCUCUUCUUAAAGUGCAGCAUUGAGGUAUUAUAGUAUUAGAAGUAAAUUACUCAAUGAUUUGACAUGAACAUGUGCCUGAGACUAUUAAUCUAAAUGAAAAGAUCCUCCGUGGUCUGAUGCUUUACACACGAAAUGUUCCAGUUCCAUAUAUGUUGUAAUGCCAGUUUACCUUUAUGUAUUAAAUAUAUAUGUGGUAAGAUGUUAUUUGUUAUGAAUCCUGUUUUGUCAAGUAUGGAUUAAAAUUUGGUUGAUAUUGUUUCCAGGAAACUGACUUUAGAGAAUGGAAGGUGGUUGUUCAGGAGAUAGGUAAAUUUCUGAAGGCUGAUACCGGUUUAAUGAAUUUCAGACCUUUGAGAUACAGUCUUGUACUAGAUCGUCACCCUGAUUAUAUACCUCAUAUUGCUGAUGCCAAGAGAAAGCUCAAACUUAGAGAAGCAAUACUAUGCAGCUACCAUCCUAAUGAGGUUUAUACGUCUUUUCAUCGUAGUUUUUGGGUUUUGUUAACAAGUAUGUACUAACCGAUAUUAUAUUAUAAAGUCUAAUCAAUGCCCAAAUUGUAUAUUCUCUGUUAUGUUUAUAUGUGUAUCAUACAUCCCAGUUUUAAAAUAUUUUAACUAUAUCGAGGUGGUUAGAUACAUGUGAUUGUAAUGAUGGAGCCAAUGUAGCACAUAAAGUCGGAUAUGUUUCUAAAUUAUAGCAAUAAUAUCUUAAUUGUAAGGUCACUCACAAACGUCAUCAGGAGUAAUGGAUGGAAUUUUUGAAUAAUGACUAGGCAGUGUAUACUGGCUUGUGCAUGCACAACCAAGACCUUUUAAUCUUGUUAUAUGAAAUACUUAAAUCUUACUACACUAAGUACAGACAUUAUUUUAAUUAGCACUUAAAUAUACAAAAAUAUUAAAUUCAUUGCCGUGUCCUACCAUUUAAACUUGACUUCAGAAAUUAUAGAGUACAAUACUUUUAUUGAGUUAGUUAUUGGAAAUUCGUAUCAACCUUGAAGUUCAAAAAGAAGCUGGUUAUUUUUGAGGACUUGAUAAGCAGCAAUAUAAUUCUGAAAUCCCAAAUGGGUCUUUUUUUAGAACGAAGGUUGUUUGUGUAGUAUCCUAUUUUAUUUUAUGGAUGACACUUUUAGAGAACUUGAUAUCAUUAUAGCAGGAGUAGAGCAUGAAUUGGUAAACUCAAAUUGCUUCUUCACUGUUAUAUCUAUUUAUUUACUUAGUUUUUUGAUCAGAUCAAAUUUUCAGAGCUCACGCUUGAUACUUUCAGAAUGCUUCAAUGUCUGGAGUGGGAACCCAGUGGCUCAUUUUACCAGUCAACUGGUGCUGCAUCCGGCACUGUUCACAAGGGAGCCUCUGGCCCUAGUCGCAUAAACUACACACAGGAUAUAGCUGAUCCUACUUUGCCUGCUAACCCACGCAAAGCCAUGCUCUAUCGUCCAUCUGCUACACAUUUUAUUGCAGUGAGUAUAUUUCAUUGAAGCGGAGGUUUUUCAGAGGAAAGGCUUGUUAAAAUUGGGGUGUAGUAAUUUAUGAUAUAUAUAUAUAUAUGCUGAUUCCAUUAUAUCUUCAAUUCCAGCUUAUUUAGGCUGUAGAAAUUACUUUUGUAUGUAUUAUGGGACCCUGAGACUACAAUUAAAGGUAAGCCAUUAGGCAUAAUGUUACUUCUCUCUGCUUUUUAUUGCAGGUGCUGGCAACUUUGUGUGAGGAGCUUCCUCCUGACGGAGUUCUAUUAGUUUAUGUAUCUGCUUCAGGUGCUGCAGCUCUUUCUUAUGUCUUCGCCAUGGUCUUUCGACUUGCACAUAUAUUUAGCUAACUCAUAAUGAUUUGAGUUGCUUUAGGAAGUAUUGGACAUUUAGGUAAUGCUGACAACAAUAUCUUGAACUCGGAGCUUGGUUAUAUGCAGCUUGAAGAGGCUAGUACUCCUACUGGCUGCUUGCAAAUCGGUGCUCGAGGCGAUGGAGGUACAUAUUUCUGUCACUCAUAAUUUAAUAUAAUCGAUUGUGUUCCAAUUUGGAAGAUGCCUUACAUAUGUUUUUCUCACCAGGUUUAAAUUGCAUAUAUCCUUGUGACUUCAUUCCAUUUACAAGAAGGCCACUAUUUUUGAUUAUUGACAGUAGUAUGAGUGAAUCAUUCAAGGCAAGUCUUCUUACUGAUUUUUGCCUAAUAUAUAUUAGAAAUAUAUACAGUAGAACACUGAUAAAUGAAUAACCUUGAUAGAUAUUUUUAGCAUAUUUUUGACUUCAAACUUAAUAUAGACAAUGUAUUUUUAACCUCGAUAAAUGAAUAAAAUUCUGGGGUCCUGAGGGUAUUCAAUUUCAUGCACUGAUGUUUAACUAUAUAUGUAUUAUCUCAGCAUCAUCAAUCUUUUCGGUGAUGUAUUUAUAUAUAUAUCCUUGCCAUAGUUUCUUAAUGUAAUAAUUGUAUGCGAUGAGUUGAAUAGUAAAUUAAUAUGGGUUUAAUGAGUAAAAAUUCUUGAAAUAUUUAAUAAGCAAUAUAUUAUGUUUUGCAAUUGUCUUUCCUAAAAGUUUGAAUAUCUAUUAACCUGAUGGGUGAAAUUGAUUUCUGUAAUCCAUCCUAUGUGCUCAUGGGGUUCUCUGACAUUCUGGCCCUUAAGUUGUGGAAGAACAUUAGAUGUUAUUAAGCAAAUGAUAACUUCACAGACAAACAUAAUAUAAAGUAAAUGACAGGCUUUGAUUAAGUAAUGGUGUAGGACUGCUCAAGAAAAGGUAUGUAUCAAGAGCAAACAUGUAAUGAUCAUAUAAUCAAAGUAAUUAUCAACCAGGAUUAAUUUAUAUCCAAAUAAAUCAAUGUAUCUGGUUAAUAAAUUUAAUACUCCUUGAUCCCAUCACUGGUAUGAAAAAAGUUUGCUAUUUGAAUUUCCCAUCUCUAUGUAAAUGCAACAGGCCAUAAGUGGAACAGAAAAAGGAGAGCGUAUUGCGAUGCUUCUGUCUCCAACCUUUUCGUCUCCUACACCUGGACUUUUAGAUUCUAUUCCUCAGCCAAGUGGAAGCAUGUUUACCAGUUUCCUCACAGCUCCUUUGCAGGCUUUUCUUAUGUUGAUUGGAAUUUCAG